Mustela putorius furo (domestic ferret) is the source of this 127-nucleotide small nucleolar RNA. The record is from Ensembl. Lineage: Eukaryota; Metazoa; Chordata; Mammalia; Carnivora; Mustelidae.
AGGUCAUUUCAAAGAGGGCUUGCGGGACUAAAACCAAGAGCUCUUAACGCUGUGACCAAAUAUUAGAGUUCUCCAUAGGAUGUAAUAGUUACUCAAUAGUGCUAUGUUUUCCUGAGGAGAUACAAGA